Molecule: ribosomal RNA, 617 nt
Filed under: uncultured bacterium
Lineage: Bacteria
Description: bacterial SSU rRNA
Rfam family: Bacterial small subunit ribosomal RNA
Source: RNAcentral
GGUGUGUAGGCGGUUGUUUAAGUUUGGUGUGAAAUCUCCCGGCUCAACUGGGAGGGUGCGCCGAAUACUGAAUGACUCGAGUGCGGGAGAGGAAAGUGGAAUUCCUGGUGUAGCGGUGAAAUGCGUAGAUAUCAGGAGGAACACCGGUGGUGUAGACGGCUUUCUGGACCGUAACUGACGCUGAGACACGAAAGCGUGGGUAGCAAACAGGAUUAGAUACCCUGGUAGUCCACACCCUAAACGAUGCAUAUUUGGUGUGGGCAGUUCAUUCUGUCCGUGCCGGAGCUAACGCGUUAAAUAUGCCGCCUGGGGAGUACAGUCGCAAGGCUGAAACUCAAAGGAAUUGACGGGGGCCCGCACAAGCGGUGGAGCAUGUGGUUCAAUUCGACGCAACGCGAAGAACCUUACCUGGGCUCGAACGGCUGGUCAACGGCGGUGGAAACACUGUUACCCCGCAAGGGGGUCCAGUCGAGGUGCUGCAUGGCUGUCGUCAGCUCGUGUCGUGAGAUGUUGGGUUAAGUCCCGCAACGAGCGCAACCCUUGUCCUGUGUUGCCAUCAUUCAGUUGGGAACUCGCAGGAGACCGCCAGGGAUAACCUGGAGGAAGGUGGGGAUGAC